Molecule: long non-coding RNA, 239 nt
Organism: Gambusia affinis (western mosquitofish)
Lineage: Eukaryota; Metazoa; Chordata; Actinopteri; Cyprinodontiformes; Poeciliidae
Exons: 3
Source: RefSeq, a predicted model, not a curated record
GGCCAUCGUUUUCCACAGUUGCUAUUAUAGACAUGAGCAAGUUGAAGCAAGUUGCCAUUUUCUUGGAGCAAAUCCCAGACUUAUGCAUAUAAACACACAAAUGGAAAUCUCUCUGGGAAGCUGUUUCGUGGAGUGUGUUUACAUGUUGCUGCAGCAGAGCGGAGCCCCGAGAACUGGAUAUCAAGACCGGUGUAAACAACAAAGUGUCACCAGGACUCUUCGGGGCAGUAAAAGUGUUG